AUUGAACGCUGGCGGCAGGCCUAACACAUGCAAGUCGAGCGGAUGACGGGAGCUCGCUCCUAGAUUCAGCGGCGGACGGGUGAGUAAUGCCUAGGAAUCUGCCUGGUAGUGGGGGACAACGUUUCGAAAGGAACGCUAAUACCGCAUACGUCCUACGGGAGAAAGCAGGGGACCUUCGGGCCUUGCGCUAUCAGAUGAGCCUAGGUCGGAUUAGCUAGUUGGUGGGGUAAUGGCUCACCAAGGCGACGAUCCGUAACUGGUCUGAGAGGAUGAUCAGUAACACUGGAACUGAGACACGGUCCAGACUCCUACGGGAGGCAGCAGUGGGGAAUAUUGGACAAUGGGCGAAAGCCUGAUCCAGCCAUGCCGCGUGUGUGAAGAAGGUCUUCGGAUUGUAAAGCACUUUAAGUUGGGAGGAAGGGCAGUAAGUUAAUACCUUGCUGUUUUGACGUUACCGACAGAAUAAGCACCGGCUAACUCCGUGCCAGCCGCCGCCGUAA
This 500-nucleotide ribosomal RNA is filed under the name uncultured bacterium. RNAcentral's name for it is "partial 16S ribosomal RNA". It matches the Rfam family "Bacterial small subunit ribosomal RNA", at positions 30 to 523 of the family's 1533-position model. The record is from RNAcentral.